This 376-nucleotide ribosomal RNA is filed under the name uncultured bacterium. RNAcentral's name for it is "bacterial SSU rRNA". It matches the Rfam family "Bacterial small subunit ribosomal RNA", at positions 524 to 898 of the family's 1533-position model. The record is from RNAcentral.
UACGUAGGGGGCGAGCGUUGUCCGGAGUUACUGGGCGUAAAGAGCGUGUAGGCGGUUGAAAAAGUCAGGUGUGAAAUUCUUCGGCUCAACCGAGGGACUGCGCCUGAAACUUUUCGACUGGAGUUCGGGAGGGGCAACUGGAAUUCCUGGUGUAACGGUGAAAUGUGUAGAUAUCAGGAGGAACACCCGUGGCGAAGGCGGGUUGCUGGACCGAAACUGACGCUAAGACGCGAAAGCGUGGGUAGCAAACAGGAUUAGAUACCCUAAUAAUCCACACUAUAAACAAUAAAUGCUAAAUGUAGGGGGUAUCGACUCCUUCUGUGCCGCAGUUAACGCAUUAAGCACUCCGCCUGGGGAGUACGGCCGCAAGGUUAAA